GAUGAACGUUGGCGGCGUGCCUAAUACAUGCAAGUCGAACGAAGACUGUAGUAAUACUGUCUUAGUGGCGAACGGGUGAGUAACGCGUGGGUGACCUGCCCCGAAGUGUGGGAUAACAGUCCGAAAGGAUUGCUAAUACUGCAUAAUAUCCAAGAGAUUAGAUGCUUUUGGAUUAAAGGAGUAAUUCGCUUCGGGAGGGGCCCGCGUCCCAUCAGCUAGUUGGUAAGGUAAUGGCUUACCAAGGCGAUGACGGGUAGGGGACCUGAGAGGGUGGCCCCCCACAAUGGAACUGAAACACGGUCCAUACACCUACGGGUGGCAGCAGUAGGGAAUAUUAGUAAUGGGCGAAAGCCUGAACUAGCAACGCCGCGUGUGCGAAGAAGGCCUUGGGUCGUAAAGACACUUUUUGAGAGGAUGA
This 418-nucleotide ribosomal RNA is filed under the name uncultured bacterium. Its description in RNAcentral is "bacterial SSU rRNA". It matches the Rfam family "Bacterial small subunit ribosomal RNA", at positions 28 to 448 of the family's 1533-position model. The record is from RNAcentral.